GGAGGCCCCGCCCAGGGCGCGCAGCCAGGGGUUUCCAUGGUGAUGGCAAACAAGCCUCAACUGCCUCAGCUACAACUGCCAAGUUUCCCGCGUUCCACCCUCCUCUAGGUGCUCAGAGGGAUGAUCGAGAUGCCGGAUGCGAAGAGCGGGAGCGUGGAGGCUCGGAGCCCGAGCCACAAAAGAUUGCACCCAAACUAGUUUGAUGCUCUCCUGUCCAGAGUCCCUUCUCUGAUGCCUGGUUCUGAAGGCUGUGGAGGCCCAACUCACCCUGGUGCUGUCUGCGGAGAUGUGCAGAACUUCCAACAUUGAAGAUGGGGCAUCAGGAACAAAGCAGCUCUCCUAAGGUAAAGAAUCCCACCUGGAAGAUGGCCAAUCUGAAUGGCCACCUCCCACCAGGGCUGCAGAGCAGAGGAGGACCAGGCCAAAAAAGAGCAGACGCUAGAUUUGCACGGCUAGUAGCAAUAUGUGAUCCUUGUGUUCUGCAAGCCACCCUUCAAACUGUUGAACAACGCGAGCUCUGAUCUGUUUCAGGAGAGCUCCACCUUUGUAGUUCCCUACAUGUUUCCUAGUUCCACGGAAAAUGAAUAGAUCUCAGAGAGACAGCCAGCGAGAGAGGGAACACAGCAGAGGAGCGGGAGAGGAAGAAGCAGUCUCCCAGAAGAGGAGCCCGAUGUGGGACUCGAUCCCGGAAUGCCGGGAUCACGCCCUGAGCCGAAGGCAGACGCUUAAUGACUGCGCUACCCAGGCACCCCUCAAUAUGGUAUUUUAAGCUUUGUUUCAAUCUUGAAAUAUGAUUUAUAAAACUCAUGAAGGAAGAUUAGUUUAUUCUUUUGCCAUUCUUUAAUGGUGGGUCUCCUUACAACAAAUUUUUUUUUCUUUAAAGAUUUAUUUAUUUAUUUGUUGGAGAGAGAGAGAGCACAAGCAGGGGGAGCAGCAGGCAGAGGGAGAAGCAGGCUCCCCACCAAGCAAGGAGUCCGAUAUGGGACUUGAUCCCAGGGCUCUGGGAUCAUGACCUGAGCCGAAGGCAGACACCUAACCGACUGAGCCACCUAACCGACUGAGCCACCCAGCCACCACUGAGUCCCUCUUCACAACAAAUUCUAUUAGUUUUCUUUCUUGCAAUAAUAUCUUUAUUUCUUUUUCAUUCCUGGUGGAGAGUUUCAAACCAGAUGAAGAAUUUACAAUUUAGAGUAUUUUCCUAUGAGCAUUUGAAAAAUGUGACAAUUCCUGGGGCUCAGUCGGCUAGGCAUCCAACUCUUGGUUUCAGCUCAGGUCAUGAUCUCAGGGUCAUGAGAUGGAGCCCUGCAUCAAGCUCCCUGUUCAGCAGGGAGUCUGCUUCUCCCUCUUCCUCUGCAGUUCCCCCUGCUUGUGCUCUCUCUCGUAAAUAAAUAAAUAAAUCUUAAAAAAAAAAAAAGAAAAAAGAAAAAUGUAACAAUCCAUUCUGGUCUCCAUGAUUUCAGAUGAGAAAUCCACUGUCAUUCAAAUUGGUGUUCUAUGGGUGAUGUGUUGUUUCCUUAUGGCUGUUUUCAGGGUUUUCUCUUUAGCUUUCAGAAGUUUAAUUGUGAUGUGUCUCGGCAUAGAUUUUUUGGGGGGUUGAUCAGUGUCUUCUAUUUAGAUUUGUCUCUUGUCAGUUUGGGGACAUUUUCAGCCAUUUUUUUUUUAAACACACAGCUGGGGACCCUUUUUUUUUUCUUUCAGCCUGUUCUCUCUGGUUUAGAUGGCAAAUCUGUUGUUCUGUCCUCAAGUUCACAGAUUCUUGUCAUCUGCAAUUGUUAUGGGUUGAAUAAAGUCCCUUGAAAGAUAUGAUGAAGUCCAAACCUCUGGUGCCUGUUUGUGACCUUGUUCAAUUAUUCAGUUUUGCCCUUAAGAAAUUUUAAGCUUGGGUGCAUGGGUGGCUCAGUCGGUUAAGUGUCUGACUCUUAAUUUUGGCUCAGGUCAUGAUCUCAGUGUUGUGAGAUUGAACCCUCUGUGGGACUCUGCACUGGGUGUGGAGCCUGCUUAAGAUUGUCUCUCUCCCUCUUCCUUUGCCCCUCCCUGCCUUCUCCCUCUCAAAAAAAAAAAAAUUUUAAGUCCUCUCACAGAAUUUCAAACUUGGUACUUAUCUUGGGACACUAUGUAUUCAAGGAUUUGCUUUUAACUCUAGCCCUUAUUUAUUUACUUAUUUAUUUUUAACAAUUUUAUUUAUUUGUCAGAGAGAGAGCAUGAGCACAACCAGGGGGAGCAGCAGGCAAAGGGAGAAGCAGACUCCCCACUGAGCAAGGAGCCAGGUACAGGACUCGAUCCCAGGACCCCAGGAUCAUGACCUGAGCUGAAGGCAGAUGCUUAACUGACCGAGCCACCCAGGCACCCCUCCAGCCCUUCUUGAAUGCUAGACUCUCUAUCCUCCAUACUUGCUUUCUGCAGGGGCUCAAGCCUUAUUCUCAACCCUUAUCUGUGCCAGAAUUGGUUAGUGGUCCUGGAUUAGAAGUGGGUUUAGAUACUGAAAAGCAAUUCACUAUAUUCUCUAGUGUUUUCAUAUGUUUACUGUUUUGUUUUCAGGUCUUUAUAUUCUAAGCACUAUAAGACUGAGACUUCAUUCUGCCUUUUGGUCUCAUCUCAUUAGCCUCUUUCUAGAGGCUCGUGAAUUUGUCAUUCCUGUCAUAGCAUAGCACUGCCCAAAGUGUCCUUGCUUUGUUUUUUCCUCAGCAGAGACACAGUACCGGGGGCAAGACAAGCCCAGAGGAUCUGCUUGCAUCCAGAAUUGGAAAAUGUUAUCAGGAGAAACACACACGUACAAACAGCAGGAAUUUGGGAGUUCACCUCCUUGUGAUUCUAUCUGUUCUAAAGUUUUGAUCUCCUUUAUCCUUGUUGCUCCCAGAACAGUUGGAUGCCUUUAAGUAUAUUUUUGUUGUUUAUAUGGGUUUUACUAGACGUUUUUAGAAGGAAUAGUGGUCUAAAGCAAUGUAAUACAUCCUACCAUGAAGGAGGUGCAUGCGUGUGUAUUUAUUUAUUCAUUUUAAAAGAAAUAUAUAGCUGGUCAGGCGUAUAGGGAGUGCUGAACUUAAACCCGGUCUCCACUUCUCAGUUGCAUGGAUUGGUAUUUUCACUGUGAAGCCUGGGGCAUCAUGUGUUUUAUUUUUGAGCUUCCCCAGAAAAGGCCGGCUUGGAAUCCAGGUCAGUGCAGAUACCCUCAUGGUUGCAGAGUUGUCUUGCUGACCCUACUCCAGGAUGCAAGCAGCCCGUCUCUUGCUGAAAAAAAUGACUUUCCCAUAUGAUAUUCCUUUUAUGGUGAAAGUGAAUGGGUAACCCAAUUGGCAGAUAAUCCACAGGAGACAUCCUCUUGCAUCCAUGGGAUUUGAGGGAUUCUCGGUUUUUUAAAAAAAUAUUUUAUUGGUUGGUGUACCUGGGUGGCUCAGUCAGUUGAGCGUCCAACUCUUGAUUUUAGCUCAGGUCUUGAUCGGAGGGUCAUGAGUUCAAA
Long non-coding RNA from Ailuropoda melanoleuca (giant panda), 3457 nucleotides. RefSeq lists it as uncharacterized. NCBI's taxonomy places the organism in Eukaryota, Metazoa, Chordata, Mammalia, Carnivora, Ursidae. The transcript is spliced from 5 exons. The record is from RefSeq and is a predicted model, not a curated record.